This 406-nucleotide unclassified non-coding RNA is filed under the name Hevea brasiliensis (rubber tree). The record is from RNAcentral. Lineage: Eukaryota; Viridiplantae; Streptophyta; Magnoliopsida; Malpighiales; Euphorbiaceae.
GAUGCGACAGAGGUGCAGGCGAGAGCCAUUCUGAUGUUGGCUGCCCAAGAAAUGGAGGAUAAAAUGAGAAUAACUUCAACUGGGCCUUCUUCUUCUUCUUCGUCUUCGUUGUCGUCGGAACAACCUGUAUCGCCAACUUUGGAACCUCCUCCUCCGCCUGCUUAUGGCCCUAAUAAUAAUGGUUUGUCGAUGAAGAGAUCACUUCAAAGGUUCUUUCAGAAGAGAAAUCAUAGGAUCCAAGCAACUUACCCUUACAACAUUAACCGGCGGCCGCAUGCAUGCAGGGUCGAUCACCAUUGAUAAGGGAUCUCAUUUUUAUUCUUUCUUUCUUUCUUUCUAAACAAUUUAUCAGUUAUUAGUUAAUUCGCAUAGCAAGCAUAUAGAGGCUCCUAAAUUUUGUAUUGAU